RNAcentral lists this ribosomal RNA (301 nucleotides) under uncultured fungus. RNAcentral's name for it is "eukaryotic LSU rRNA". Lineage: Eukaryota; Fungi. The record is from RNAcentral.
AACGCACCUUGCGCUCUUGGGCCAUUCCUAAGAGCAUGCCUGUUUGAGUGUCGUGAACUCCUCAACCCUGGAUGGAUUUUGAAUCCGACCGGUGGCUUGGAUUUGGGGGCUUGCUGGCCGUUUCGAUUCGGUCUGCUCCCCUUGAAUGCAUUAGCUUGGACUUGUGACUUAGGCUACAUAGUGUGAUAAUUAUCUACGCUUGGUUGUCUUUGGAACGUUGUGGUCUGGCUUCUAAUCGUCCUCUCUGGACAAUAUUUCAAUCUUUGACCUCAAAUCAGGUAGGACUACCCGCUGAACUUAA